RNAcentral lists this ribosomal RNA (474 nucleotides) under Stygiobacter sp. RIFOXYC2_FULL_38_25. RNAcentral describes it as "bacterial LSU rRNA". It matches the Rfam family "Bacterial large subunit ribosomal RNA", at positions 2459 to 2925 of the family's 2925-position model. Lineage: Bacteria; Pseudomonadati; Ignavibacteriota; Ignavibacteria; Ignavibacteriales; Melioribacteraceae. The record is from RNAcentral.
AAAGGUACGCCGGGGAUAACAGGCUGAUCUUGCCCAAGAGUUCAUAUCGACGGCAAGGUUUGGCACCUCGAUGUCGGUUCAUCGCAUCCUGGGGCUGAAGAAGGUCCCAAGGGUUUGGCUGUUCGCCAAUUAAAGCGGUACGUGAACUGGGUUCAGAACGUCGUGAGACAGUUCGGUCCCUAUCCUAUGCGGGCGCAGGAUACUUGAGAAGAGUCGCUUCUAGUACGAGAGGACCGAAGUGAACGUAUCUCUAGUGAAUCAAUUGUUACGCCAGUAGCAUUGUUGAGUAGCUAUAUACGGAUGUGAUAAGCGCUGAAAGCAUCUAAGUGCGAAGCACACUUCAAGAUGAGGUAUCCCGUCGCAAGACCUAAAGACUCCUAGGAGAUUACUAGGUUGAUAGGUUACAGAUGUAAGCAUAGUAAUAUGUUUAGUCGAGUAAUACUAAUAAGUCGUGCGACUUAGCCAUUAUUUUUU